RNAcentral lists this ribosomal RNA (465 nucleotides) under uncultured bacterium. Its description in RNAcentral is "partial 16S ribosomal RNA". It matches the Rfam family "Bacterial small subunit ribosomal RNA", at positions 28 to 507 of the family's 1533-position model. The record is from RNAcentral.
GACGAACGCUGGCGGCGUGCUUAACACAUGCAAGUCGAACGGAAAGGCCCUGCUUGCAGGGUACUCGAGUGGCGAACGGGUGAGUAACACGUGGGUGAUCUGCCCUGCACUUCGGGAUAAGCCUGGGAAACUGGGUCUAAUACCGGAUAGGAGCCAUUUUUAGUGUGAUGGUUGGAAAGUUCUUUCGGUGUAGGAUGAGCUCGCGGCCUAUCAGCUUGUUGGUGGGGUAAUGGCCUACCAAGGCGGCGACGGGUAGCCGGCCUGAGAGGGUGGACGGCCACAUUGGGACUGAGAUACGGCCCAGACUCCGACGGGAGGCAGCAGUGGGGAAUAUUGCACAAUGGGCGCAAGCCUGAUGCAGCGACGCCGCGUGGGGGAUGACGGCCUUCGGGUUGUAAACUCCUUUCGCUAGGGACGAAGCUUUUUGUGACGGUACCUAGAUAAGAAGCACCGGCUAACUACGUG